RNAcentral lists this microRNA (23 nucleotides) under Monodelphis domestica (gray short-tailed opossum). RNAcentral describes it as "mdo-miR-12367-3p". Lineage: Eukaryota; Metazoa; Chordata; Mammalia; Didelphimorphia; Didelphidae. The record is from miRBase by way of RNAcentral.
UCUCCAUGCUGGGAGCUGCCUUU